Molecule: ribosomal RNA, 497 nt
Filed under: uncultured bacterium
Lineage: Bacteria
Description: partial 16S ribosomal RNA
Rfam family: Bacterial small subunit ribosomal RNA
Source: RNAcentral
GAUGAACGCUGGCGGCGUGCCUAAUACAUGCAAGUCGAGCGAACAGACGAGGAGCUUGCUCCUCUGACGUUAGCGGCGGACGGGUGAGUAACACGUGGAUAACCUACCUAUAAGACUGGGAUAACUUCGGGAAACCGGAGCUAAUACCGGAUAAUAUAUUGAACCGCAUGGUUCAAUAGUGAAAGACGGUUUUGCUGUCACUUAUAGAUGGAUCCGCGCCGCAUUAGCUAGUUGGUAAGGUAACGGCUUACCAAGGCAACGAUGCGUAGCCGACCCGAGAGGGUGAACGGCCACACUGGAACUGAGACACGGUCCAGACUCCUACGGGAGGCAGCAGUAGGGAAUCCUCCGCAAUGGGCGAAAGCCUGACGGAGCAACGCCGCGUGAGUGAUGAAGGUCUUCGGAUCGUAAAACUCUGUUAUUAGGGAAGAACAAAUGUGUAAGUAACUAUGCACGUCUUGACGGUACCUAAUCAGAAAGCCACGGCUAACUACGUG